AGCAUAACUGUGGGAGAAUAGUAAGCAUUGGACACAAAAUGUUGAAAACAUUCAAGUACGGAAUAAACUAUUACUGCGAAUACGCUCAUAUGACACAAGAACAAUCUCUGAGCUUCUUUGAGGAUGUCCAGAUGACUGCUGACUGCACUAAUUGCAUCAAUCGUGUAUCCAUACAGGUUCUUUCUAUAAAAUAGUGGUCGCUAGUUAUGAGGCGUUAAGCCUUCAUGGAUAUAAACAGACUAUUCCACCUAAGUGAUCUGGCAGAAGCUUAGUUUUCUACCACAACAUCCACCGUCCUCCCUCCCUCCCUUCCUAGCUGGUCAGAAAAGCUACUCAGAAUAAAGACUACAUUUCCCAGCCAUCUUUGCAGCUAGGUUUAUCCACCUGACUAAAUUCCACCGUAACUCCAGGUUGAAGAACUUCUACUUAUAGGCAUCUAUUCAACGAAGACGAAUCCUGGAAUGGGGAUGGAAAUGAUGGCUCAUGUCUUAGCAAACUACCAGUACGUCUACUAGAACCGGAACUGAUCCGAGAGGACAGGGAAGUCAGUGUGGGCGGCUCUAAGGAGCCUCCCUCUCUACAGCUGCGGCUCAGAGGAUUACGGCGCUUCAUCCACAAGGCAACAUUGCACAAGUAGCUUUUGAACAAAAGUCAUGGAUACUAUUAAUGAUAUGGUAAUCCUUAAUCGAGCUACCUCCCAGUAGUGAUUAUACUGACAUGGGAAGAAUAUCUAAGUCGUGGAGGCAGCCCACAACAACACUGUGUCAUUGUUCACCCCGGGCUCGACCAGGACUAACUUUUACCAGCAUCUCUAACGUCACCUUUCCCCUGAUGCCUCCCCACAACCCCUGGCCCCAGCUCCCAUUCCCGCCCCAUCAUAGCAAAAAAGUAGCAAAGAAAACCCUGAUCCUAAA
Molecule: long non-coding RNA, 914 nt
Filed under: Homo sapiens (human)
Lineage: Eukaryota; Metazoa; Chordata; Mammalia; Primates; Hominidae
Description: long intergenic non-protein coding RNA 2436
Source: RNAcentral